UUCCUGGACGACUGGAUGGAAAGUUGGCCUGCGUGCUGCCCGCUGGCCGUGCCAUAGGAAUUUCAACGGGGAUAUAAGUAUAAGAACGCGGAGACGGGGAGUCGUUCGCGGUAGUGUGAGGCACAAACGCGCCACGGCACCACACCCAGCGUGCCCAACGUUACGACAGUGAGGGACAACAACAGGACCCCGGCCAUGCGCGUCGCGGUGAUCUUCUUGGCGUGCGCCGCCGCGCUUUCCGCUGCACAGAACCAGGAUGGACCGAGGGACUCGAUACGAGCGACUCGCUAUCAGAGAUUACCCCCUCGAUCAGGCACCACCGGACCGGCCUUCCCCAAUCAACGAUUCCGCCGACCGAUCUCCUUCAAACCCCGCGCAGGCCCCGGAGACGACGCGCCCGGUACGUUCCGACCCCUGCGGCCGAAUUCGCCGAUAGCCGCACCUUCGUUCGCGCAUCACGUAAAGCCGGUGAACGAGGACCCCGAAGAGGAAGACGUGUCUUCCACCCGCGAGGAUGAAGACACACGCGAGCAGAGCCAGGAGAUCAGGAGCGACGAAGAUUUGAGCGAAGAGUUUCCGCGUACGGCGGCGAAUCCACCGCGGGUAAUCCCGGUGGCGUCGGGACCGCUGACGUACCGUCCACCCAUCCAGACGGUGACGCCGUCGAGCGUCCGGGUGGGACCCACGACACCCUCGCUGCCACCGCCGCCGCCGUCACCCGUUCAGUACCGUCCGACACCCCCGCCGCCGCCGCCCAUCCAGUACCGCGCGACGCACAAGCCCACAAAGGCUCCGAGGAAGCAGAUCAUCGACGACCUCACGUUCCAGCAACCGAUCAAGCCGCCGCCCAAGGCGGUGAAGCCGUCCCAAGCUUACGAAAUCCGCGGCAAAAAGCCGGUAGCGCAGAUAAUCAGGCGAUACCGGCAUGACAACCCGGAUGGUUCCAUCACGUGGGGCUUUGAAAACGACGACGGAUCGUACAAGGAAGAGACGAUCGGCGUAGAUUGCAUAACCAGCGGUAAGUACGGAUACAUCGAUCCGGAUGGUCUUCGACGUGAGUACACGUACGAAAUGGGAAUCAAGUGCGAUGAGCAGGAACAGGAGGAGGAGGAAGAGGGUUUCGUGGAUUACCAAGAAAACAAGCUGGUAUUGCCGAACGGGAAGACCAUCGAUCUCUCCUCGAUGGGCAAGAAAGCGCGCCGGCCCCAGUUCCAAUAUAGAAAUUAAAGGAAUCAGAGACUCGCAUUUCGUAAACUCGCCAUCGCCUUUGUCGUACUUAAUCGCGUAACUGUAACUCAUAAUGUAAAAUGCGUUUCUUAAGAUAAACUAGAGUUAUAUAAAGAUAUAUAAAUAAGUUAAGAUAUCGAGAGAUUAGUGAUACAAAUAACGCGUAAUUCCAUGUAAGAUCAUUUAGUGUAUUAGGCUUAAUAAAUUAGGCUUAAUAAAUAAAAUAAACUGAAAGAGAUAUUAAUAACAUCAGCUUAAAAUAAUCGUAUCUCCAAUACAUUGAGCUUGAGGCAGUUCUCAAUAAUAUAGUUCGCUGCGUGAUAAGAAACACGCUUAAUCUAAUCAAUAUUCAUCAUACAAUAUUCAUAAUGACGACGAAAAUGAACAUAAUUACAUAAGUAAUCGGAAAUUUUCACGCGAGAUACUAGUACCUUAUUCUUAUCGAAAAUCAAAAAAAGUUCAUUUAUAAAGAUAACUCGUAAUAAACUUACGCCGUGUAAUACAAAAAAUAAUUGAAGAUUUAUAUAUAGAAUACAACACAUCAGAAUGCAGCAUGUUAUACUUUAAUGUAUAUAUGAAAUAUACAUUAAGAUGCACACAUAUAUUAAAAUAUUAAAAUUAUAAACAGAAUUCGACGCAAAUUGUUAAUCUUAUUCGUAAUACUUUCGCAAUAUUUUACGGGCAAAAUCCGUCCGUCCCACACUGAAAAGGGAUCGGGAGCGAACUGAAUUCUAGGAAACAACAAUGAUUCAUUUCGUUAAAUACAUUCACCGACGUUGAGACUUUAUUUCGCCGAUCAUCAUUAUUAUGCAUAAUAAUAUCCAUAUCAGAUCUCUCGUCAGAUUUUUAACUAGACAUUGAUACAAGAGUAUACCGUGUUGUGUACAUAUCGAUAUUGUAUAGGUUUGAACUUGAAUAAAGGUAACAAAAUUAAUAAAUA
Molecule: RNA transcript, 2167 nt
Organism: Solenopsis invicta (red fire ant)
Lineage: Eukaryota; Metazoa; Arthropoda; Insecta; Hymenoptera; Formicidae
Exons: 4
Source: RefSeq, a predicted model, not a curated record